UCUGCUUCUCUACGAGGCAUCGUAUUCACGUGGUUCCUGACCUGCGUAAGCGUGUGUGAGGCCAACCGCGUGCACUCUUUGAGCGGGUAUUGCGUGUUCACGGAGGCCCCUCUACUCAUUCGACUGGCCUCCAGUCGCCAGUCCUUCUACGGCAACACUCAGCUCUGUACAGCUCGGCUUCGUCGUUGUCCUCGUAGUGGUCGAUCGUUCGAGUCGAUAUUUCGUGCGUGCACGCACAGACCGAGAUGUUGUCUGCUCCGAGUAAACGGUACUCACCGCGUGCUCGUGCCACUAAAUUCGAAUCAUAAUUUACGGAAACAACGUUCUUUGUAGAUUUCUCGUACAGAUUUUAUCAUACAGAUAUAUCGUAAUUGGUGUUCAAUUUCUCGAACAAUGGAUUGCUUAUCUCAUACAAAUUUAUUUCUCGCGAGAAGAUGACAAAGAAGAUAAACUAUAAAAAAUUACGAUUCUAGCGUUACUUUCGCUGUUUUUUAAUUUACGAAGGUGGUCUGUAUGGCUUGCGUGCGGCUCGUAUAAUGAUAGACCAAAUUUAACGUAUCUACAAUAAAUUGCAUCUAAUUAACUGUGAUGAAAAGAAAAUGUGUUCCGAGAAAGAAAAAUUCGCCUGAACUGCGGACGAUUACUCGAAUAACCAUUAUUCUUCGUUACGCAUCAAGAAACUAAUCCUGACUCCGAUUGUGUCCAAUCAUUCUUCCCCCUCUGAAUCAAUCAGAAUCGUCAAAACGAAGGGCAAUUCAACGAGUCA
RNAcentral lists this unclassified non-coding RNA (766 nucleotides) under Bombus terrestris (buff-tailed bumblebee). Its description in RNAcentral is "misc RNA ENSBTSG00005025445.1". Lineage: Eukaryota; Metazoa; Arthropoda; Insecta; Hymenoptera; Apidae. The record is from RNAcentral.